Thalassophryne amazonica is the source of this 149-nucleotide long non-coding RNA. RefSeq lists it as uncharacterized. Lineage: Eukaryota; Metazoa; Chordata; Actinopteri; Batrachoidiformes; Batrachoididae. The transcript is spliced from 4 exons. The record is from RefSeq and is a predicted model, not a curated record.
UUUAAUCAUUAUAACCAGCUCCUCUCCUUCAGCCUCCAGCUGCUGUCUGCAGCACCCAGUGCACCUGCAUGAGUUGAGAGAAAAAACAAUGAAAAUGAGAAAGCUUUCUACAGCUCAAUAUUUACCUUUACUUGCUAUUGUUAGAGUAU